Molecule: long non-coding RNA, 791 nt
Organism: Pseudophryne corroboree (corroboree frog)
Lineage: Eukaryota; Metazoa; Chordata; Amphibia; Anura; Myobatrachidae
Exons: 3
Source: RefSeq, a predicted model, not a curated record
CUUAGGUGAGAGAUGGACAGCAGAGUGGUGAGGCAAAUGCACCCCUGGAGAUGAGUAGUGAGCAGACAUCUUGGAGGAGAGAUGGUGACUGGCAGUGUGCGGGAGUGCUGCUCAUCUAUCCUGUGUAGAGUGGUGAUUACUGGAGACUGGAAGCAUUGAACUGAAUGUGGCUCAUACUCCAGUGGGGCAGAGUGGAGGAACAGGACACACAGCUGCUGCACAGCAACUAAGGCAGUAUGGAGAGUGUAAUGGAUAGCAUAACUGCCUCACAGCUCUGAGGUCAUGUGGUCAAUUCCCACCAUAGCCCUAAGUAUUUGGAGUUUGUAUGUUCUCCCCAUGCUUGCUUGGGUUUUCUCUGGGUGCUCCGUUCUCAUCCCACAAUCCAAAAACAUACUGUAACUCAGAAGAGAAAAGCCAAUGAAAGAGGAAUGAUCCAUCAUUACCAUUCCCAAUGCCCCGAUUAAAUAAAAUUUUCAAAAUAUUUUUUUUCAAUUAAGUUACAAAUAUCCCUUCCUUUCCCCUCUCCUUCCCUUCCCCUCUCCUUCCCUCCCUUCCCCCUUUUAUUUAAAUGACUGGAAAUUAAUGGCAUUGAGGUUAAAAAAGGCCUAAGUACAGAAUUUAAACCCAAACCUGUGAGGACGGUUUUGGAAAAUCGAAAACACUAAAUUAAUACAGAUCCAAAAUGCAGUGGCCGGCGCACAGCUCUAAUUUGAAGUAGCUACAAGGUUUCCCCCCCCCCAAUAUUCCUGCUUUUACAAUAAUUUACCCCUUUGUGCAAAAAGCAUCAUAUU